CCCCUAGACGUUCUGGGCUGCACGCGCGCUACAAUAAUACGCACAGCGAGUAUCACCGAGCUCGAAAGGGCAAGGUAAACAAUAGAAAAGGUACUGUAAUGGUUAUAGAUCCUUGUAAUUAUUGAUCUUCAACGAGGAAUUCCUAGUAAGUAUGUGUCAUCAUCACGCACUGAUUACGUCCCUGCCCUUUGUACACACCGCCCGUCGCUCCUACCGAUUGGGUGAGCCGAUGAAACUCUCGGAUGUAGGCUAUUCAUAGCCCGCAGAAGAGAUUUGAAUCGGAGCGCUUAGAGGAAGGAGAAGUCGUAACA
Molecule: ribosomal RNA, 311 nt
Filed under: uncultured eukaryote
Lineage: Eukaryota
Description: partial 18S ribosomal RNA
Rfam family: Eukaryotic small subunit ribosomal RNA
Source: RNAcentral